CCUCGGGGGGCAGCAGUGGGGAAUAUUGGACAAUGGGCGAAAGCCUGAUCCAGCCAUGCCGCGUGUGUGAAGAAGGCCUUCGGGUUGUAAAGCACUUUCAGUGGGGAAGAAAGCCUUGGGGCUAAUACCCUCGAGGAAGGACAUCACCCACAGAAGAAGCACCGGCUAACUCCGUGCCAGCAGCCGCGGUAAUACGGAGGGUGCGAGCGUUAAUCGGAAUUACUGGGCGUAAAGCGCGCGUAGGCGGUCUGAUAAGCCGGUUGUGAAAGCCCCGGGCUCAACCUGGGAACGGCAUCCGGAACUGUCAGGCUAGAGGGCAGGAGAGGAAGGUAGAAUUCCCGGUGUAGCGGUGAAAUGCGUAGAGAUCGGGAGGAAUACCAGUGGCGAAGGCGGCCUUCUGGACUGACACUGACGCUGAGGUGCGAAAGCGUGGGUAGCAAACAGGAUUAGAUACCCUUGUAGUC
This 464-nucleotide ribosomal RNA is filed under the name Vreelandella stevensii. Its description in RNAcentral is "partial 16S ribosomal RNA". It matches the Rfam family "Bacterial small subunit ribosomal RNA", at positions 339 to 795 of the family's 1533-position model. The record is from RNAcentral. Lineage: Bacteria; Pseudomonadati; Pseudomonadota; Gammaproteobacteria; Oceanospirillales; Halomonadaceae.